This 498-nucleotide ribosomal RNA is filed under the name uncultured bacterium. RNAcentral's name for it is "partial 16S ribosomal RNA". It matches the Rfam family "Bacterial small subunit ribosomal RNA", at positions 28 to 523 of the family's 1533-position model. The record is from RNAcentral.
GAUGAACGCUGGCGGUGUGCCUUAAGCAUGCAAGUGGAACGGUUUUUCUGGGGCCGCAAGGCUUUGGAAGAGCAGUCGCGGACGGGUGAGUACAACGUAGGAAUCUGCCUAAAAGUGUGGAAUAACUCGCCGAAAGGCGGGCUAAUACCGCAUGUGGCCCUUCGUCGCCGCAAGGCUAUGAAGGGUUAAAGGGAAUAACUUCUCGCUUUUAGAGGAGCCUACGCCCUAUCAGCUUGUUGGUGAGGUAACGGCUCACCAAGGCGACGACGGGUAGCCGGCCUGAGAGGGUGACCGGCCACACUGGGACUGAGACACGGCCCAGACUCCUACGGGAGGCAGCAGUGGGGAAUAUUGCACAAUGGGCGCAAGCCUGAUGCAGCAACGCCGCGUGAGGGAUAAAGGCCUUCGGGUUGUAAACCUCUUUUAGCAGGGAAGAAGCGAAAGUGACGGUACCUGCAGAAAAAGCACCGGCUAACUACGUGCCAGCAGCCGCCGUAA